RNAcentral lists this ribosomal RNA (396 nucleotides) under uncultured bacterium. Its description in RNAcentral is "bacterial SSU rRNA". It matches the Rfam family "Bacterial small subunit ribosomal RNA", at positions 358 to 771 of the family's 1533-position model. The record is from RNAcentral.
GGAAUAUUUGACAAUGGGCGAAAGCCUGAUCCAGCAAUGCCGCGUGAGUGAUGAAGGCCUUAGGGUUGUAAAGCUCUUUUACCCGGGAUGAUAAUGACAGUACCGGGAGAAUAAGCUCCGGCUAACUCCGUGCCAGCAGCCGCGGUAAUAAGGAGGGAGCUAGCGUUGUUCGGAAUUACUGGGCGUAAAGCGCACGUAGGCGGCCAUUCAAGUCAGAGGUGAAAGCCCAGGGCUCAACCCUGGAACUGCCUUUGAAACUAGAUGGCUAGAAUCCUGGAGAGGCGAGUGGAAUUCCGAGUGUAGAGGUGAAAUUCGUAGAUAUUCGGAAGAACACCAGUGGCGAAGGCGACUCGCUGGACAGGUAUUGACGCUGAGGUGCGAAAGCGUGGGGAGCAA